GAUGAACGCUGGCGGCGUGCCUAAUACAUGCAAGUCGAGCGAACAGACGAGGAGCUUGCUCCUCUGACGUUAGCGGCGGACGGGUGAGUAACACGUGGAUAACCUACCUAUAAGACUGGGAUAACUUCGGGAAACCGGAGCUAAUACCGGAUAAUAUAUUGAACCGCAUGGUUCAAUAGUGAAAGACGGUUUUGCUGUCACUUCUAGAUGGAUCCGCGCCGCAUUAGCUAGUUGGUAAGGUAACGGCUUACCAAGGCGACGAGGCGUAGCCGACCUGAGAGGGUGAUCGGCCACACUGGAACGGAGACACGGUCCAGACUACUACGGGAGGCAGCAGUAGGGAAUCUUCCGCAAUGGGCGAAAGCCUGACGGAGCAACGCCGCGUGAGUGAUGAAGGUCUUCGGAUCGUAAAACUCUGUUAUUAGGGAAGAACAAAUGUGUAAGUAACUAUGCACGUCUUGACGGUACCUAAUCAGAAAGCCACGGCUAACUACGUG
Molecule: ribosomal RNA, 497 nt
Filed under: uncultured bacterium
Lineage: Bacteria
Description: partial 16S ribosomal RNA
Rfam family: Bacterial small subunit ribosomal RNA
Source: RNAcentral